GGGGAUGUGGUCCAGCUUGGUAAGAUUCGAGGUUUGGGACUUCGCGACCCAGGUUCAAAUCCUGGCAUCCCCA
RNAcentral lists this transfer RNA (73 nucleotides) under Candidatus Pacearchaeota archaeon. RNAcentral's name for it is "tRNA-Pro". It matches the Rfam family "tRNA". Rfam says of the family: Transfer RNA (tRNA) molecules are approximately 80 nucleotides in length. Their secondary structure includes four short double-helical elements and three loops (D, anti-codon, and T loops). The record is from RNAcentral. Lineage: Archaea; Nanobdellati.